Molecule: transfer RNA, 72 nt
Filed under: Camelus bactrianus (Bactrian camel)
Lineage: Eukaryota; Metazoa; Chordata; Mammalia; Artiodactyla; Camelidae
Also listed under: 2 other names
Rfam family: tRNA
About the family: Transfer RNA (tRNA) molecules are approximately 80 nucleotides in length.
Source: Rfam by way of RNAcentral
GAAGAUAUAGCUCAAUGGUAGAAUGCAUGCCUAGCAUGCGUGAGGUCCUGGGAUCAAACCCUAGUACUGCCA